This is a long non-coding RNA of Homo sapiens (human), 2011 nucleotides long. The record is from Ensembl. Lineage: Eukaryota; Metazoa; Chordata; Mammalia; Primates; Hominidae.
AGGAGUAGCUGUCCGGGUCUCUGGCUAGCUCCUGUCCCAACUUCUUUUUCUUCCCUCGACGGUCGGGAGGGAUCACUGGGUGCUACACCGCUGGGGCGUCCCAGGCAGGAGAGACUUCGCUCUCAGAAGCGCCCCCGUGUCAUCCACAACUCCCACGAAAGGAGCUUCCCAAGAGGAGUUUGUUUUACCCGGAAUGGGCUGCAGGAAUUAAUUGCUUACAGAGAGUAAACUUUUGCCCGUUGUUUUUUUGUUUUUUGUGCUUUUUUUAACCAAAGCUUGCAUUUGUGCUCCGCGUAGUUUCUAUUGCAACAGAGCGCUACUCUGCCUUUUCAACUGUGAGACAGAGGAUUGCUGAGGAUUUCUGCCCUCUGGGGCUUCGCGAAUAUCUAUGGCUUCGGACCUGCUAGCGGAAAACGCAAAGUUGCCCAGCUUGGAGAUGGCACCAGGUUCCUUUGCUCUGGCGCUGGAUGCUCCGCUCCGCCACCCACCGCCGCCGUCUCCAUCGAGAAUCUCCUCAAAAUCAAGGGAGUUCUUGACUGUCCCUCUCCAAAUUGGAAGGCGGUUGACUUUGCCGGGAACCGAGUUCCUGAGCGGCAAACGUGGAGUCGCAGAGCGCAGAAGUGAAGAUUUAAUACAAAAGAUGAAACUUGUAGGAUGACCUCUAGCAGCGCUACUCACAGCUCUGAAAUCGAUCCAGAGCAUUCCACAGUGAGCGUUGCGGCUCCCAGGGGCUCCGGACCGGUAACUUCAGGCGCAAGUCUGAAUUUCAGGGAUGAACCUGCUUUGGAUUCUGUUUGAGCCGACUCAGUGCAGAGGCAGUGACAGGGGCUGUGGGUUUAGGGGUGAUGGAUCCAUGAAGGCUGCCACUUGGAGCGAGCAGACAGUUGGCGAUACCCUCCCACUAACUUGCUCCGCUGCUCCGGGCUGUUCACAGACAGACCCACGCGUAAGGAUUUAGAGUGUGUAUGUCCAACGCCCAGACUUAACUUCUGGUGCAAUUAAGGGAAGAGCUUGAAGCUAACCCGCGCAGCUUGCCUGAAGAAGUGAAUAAUGAAAUCGGUGAUGAGGUGCUAAGGAAUAAAAAGAGGCAUUUUGUUUGCGUGUGUAUUAGUUUGCCAGGAUUGAGUUUUUAGGUUUGAUGUCCUAAAAUGUAUCUUCGACAGUGACUCUUUUGCAGCCUUUCAAGAGGAGGAUGUUCGGCAGUAUUUUGGAACCUGGUAUGAAUCUAUACAUUGUCUGCGUGCCGCAAUAUUUGAUGCCUCUUCGAGUUCUAAUUCUUAUUCCUAAUUAAUAAAUGACUGUUCCUGAUAAUGAAGUGGGAAUAAGAAUUAUAAUAAACUAUUUCCAACAAAAGGCCAUCUUUAACUUAUGAUUUCUGAUUGUAUAAGCCUAUCAAUUACCAAUAAAAUAUUCUGCAGACUAUUAGGCAUGAAUUGCAGAGCUGUAAUGAAGAGACUCACUUGGUUCAAGAAAAUUCAGAAUUUAGAGCGACUCCUCUCCAAAAAGAUUGCAUCAAUGCCGGAGAUCAAAACAUAUGAAGGAUGCAGAUGACACAAAGCUGGGAGACAUUGCCAAUAAAAACAAAAAUAGAAUCCAGAGUGAAAAUGAUUUGGUAAUCUCUUCAUUCCUAUUGAAAUUCAACAGGAAUUUAAAGCCCAGCCAGUAUGCUAAAAACAUCAAAUACAUAGAGAAGAAAUGCCUUUCACUGGAGGGGACAUCUGUGUUUAUACCAAUCGAUGAUGUGAUAAUGUUACAACACAUUUAAUAUAGUCUUAAAUUGUUUCAAAAGAAACACGGAUUCAGGUUUACAUGAAGUAAUAGAUACAGAAAAUAUGCUGCUACUCAGACCAUAUCUGAAUUGUUUUGUUAAAUUAUCUGUUAUAUUUUUGGGUGUAUAGUGUUAAAAUCUGUCUCUGCAGAGGAAGCUAGCCAGCAUUGCAUGAGAAUCUAAAUAUCAUGUCAUAUAUGGAAUGGUUGAAGAGUCUCUUUCACCAUUACAAAUAGCAUGACA